Molecule: ribosomal RNA, 1135 nt
Filed under: Leiobunum manubriatum
Lineage: Eukaryota; Metazoa; Arthropoda; Arachnida; Opiliones; Sclerosomatidae
Description: partial 16S ribosomal RNA
Rfam family: Archaeal large subunit ribosomal RNA (bases 814-1135)
Source: RNAcentral
AGGUUUAUUUUAAUAUGAAAGAAARGGGUAUUUUUAUUUAAGGUACUAUUAAGUUUCUUAGUUUCUAUUAAUUACUUAUGAAGAAUUAGUAUGUUAUUGACUGUAAAGGGGUAUAAGUUAGCURCAGCUAAGUAGAAGUGCUUUGUACCUUUUGUCUCAGGGUUUGUUAAAGUUUUAGAUUGAUUUUAGUUUCCCGAGAGAAAAUGAGCUACCUCUUUUAUCUUAAUUGUAUCAUAAAUUAGGGUUAUAGAGGGGUAGAAGUGAGAUGUUAACGUAUUUUCAGUUAGCUGGUUCUAGCAAAAAUUUUAGGUAGUAUAARCUAACUUCUUAGUUUGUGGUAAGUCUAUUAGGGUUAAGCUUAAUAUUCUAUUGUUAUAUUAGGGYUAUARGAGGUUUAGGGUAAGUUUAAGAGUUACUUUGUGUUUUAUAACAGAAUUAUARGGGUCAUUAUUAAUGUGUUAUGYUAGGGUCUUAUUAKUCUUUACUURUUAUUAACAAUGGYAAAAUUAGUAGAAKUUAUGCUAUUCAGUCUAUAAUGAAGUUUGGAUUAUAGUAUGRGGGRAUAAGGUACCAAUAAGGAACUCGGCAAAAKUUAUUCUCAACUGUUUAUCAAAAACAUUUCUUUAGGRAGAUAAACUAAGGUAAGUUCUGCCCCCUGAUUGUGGAUUAAAGGGCCGCAGUAGCCUGACUGUGCUAAGGUAGCAUAAUCAYUUGGUUUUUAAUUGAGAUCUGGAAUGAAUGGAUAAAUGAGAAUGGGCUGUCUWUUGGUAGUGUUUGAAUUUAAAYUCUUAGUAAAAAUGCUGGRAUGUGNUUGUGGGACGAUAAGACCCUAUAAAGCUUUAUUUAGGCYWUUUUAUGGGKUUUGACUACCUUAAGGUGUGUUUGAAUUGGACUGGGGUGGUURCUAAUUAACUUAGYKRGGGUUUGUUAGUUUUUGAUCCAYUAUUAGUGAAUUAAGAUUAAGUUACUUUAGGGAUAACAGUAUAAUAUGUUCAUGGAGCUCUAAUCGAAGAACAUGAUUGUUACCUCGAUGUUGAAUUAAUUUUAUUGUAAGGUGAAGAAGCUUUAUGAGUUAGUCUGUUCGACUAUUAAAUGGUUACAUGAUUUGAGUUCAAACCGGUUUAAGCCAGGUUGG